GCAGUGGGGAAUUUUGGACAAUGGGCGCAAGCCUGAUCCAGCAAUGCCGCGUGCAGGAAGAAGGCCUUCGGGUUGUAAACUGCUUUUGUACGGAACGAAAAGGCUCUGGUUAAUACCUGGGGCUCAUGACGGUACCGUAAGAAUAAGCACCGGCUAACUACGUGCCAGCAGCCGCGGUAAUACGUAGGGUGCAAGCGUUAAUCGGAAUUACUGGGCGUAAAGCGUGCGCAGGCGGUUUUGUAAGACAGGCGUGAAAUCCCCGGGCUCAACCUGGGAAUUGCGCUUGUGACUGCAAGGCUGGAGUGCGGCAGAGGGGGAUGGAAUUCCGCGUGUAGCAGUGAAAUGCGUAGAUAUGCGGAGGAACACCGAUGGCGNAGGCAAUCCCCUGGGCCUGCACUGACGCUCAUGCACGAAAGCGUGGGGAGCNAACNGGAUUAGAUACCCUGGUAGUCCACGCCCUAAACG
Molecule: ribosomal RNA, 465 nt
Filed under: uncultured Hydrogenophaga sp.
Lineage: Bacteria; Pseudomonadati; Pseudomonadota; Betaproteobacteria; Burkholderiales; Comamonadaceae
Description: bacterial SSU rRNA
Rfam family: Bacterial small subunit ribosomal RNA
Source: RNAcentral